RNAcentral lists this transfer RNA (67 nucleotides) under Gyna caffrorum. RNAcentral describes it as "tRNA-Phe". It matches the Rfam family "tRNA". Rfam says of the family: Transfer RNA (tRNA) molecules are approximately 80 nucleotides in length. Their secondary structure includes four short double-helical elements and three loops (D, anti-codon, and T loops). Lineage: Eukaryota; Metazoa; Arthropoda; Insecta; Blattodea; Blaberidae. The record is from RNAcentral.
AUUUGAAUAGCUUAGGGUUAAAGCAUAGCAUUGAAGAUGCUGGGAUGAUUUUUGUAAUCUUUAAAUA